AUCUGAUGAUGAGGGCAACUACCACACAACCGUUUAAAUCUCUCCCAAUAUUCAUACAAAGGCUCUCAUGUAUAUUGCCUUAUACCAUAGAUCUCUUUCCUAAUGCU
Molecule: small nucleolar RNA, 107 nt
Organism: Humulus lupulus (European hop)
Lineage: Eukaryota; Viridiplantae; Streptophyta; Magnoliopsida; Rosales; Cannabaceae
Source: RefSeq, a predicted model, not a curated record